RNAcentral lists this long non-coding RNA (669 nucleotides) under Populus tremula. RNAcentral describes it as "long non-coding RNA (PTRE_LNC001483)". The record is from RNAcentral. Lineage: Eukaryota; Viridiplantae; Streptophyta; Magnoliopsida; Malpighiales; Salicaceae.
UGGAUUUAUCGUGCGUUCUUAGAAAGAAAGAAAGGCAUAUUCUUAGAAGAUAAACAGCACUCUACUCUUAUUAUUAAUUAAUUAUCCAAGCACCAUACAUGUUUCUUCGAGAACGAAACAGCAAGAACGUUACACGUACACACACUGGAAAUGAAAAUAAAAUUACUGGUCAGCUAAGCCACAGGUAAAACUAGCUACACAGAGAGCAUCCUUCCGUUACAUCAUCAUCAUCCCCUAUGGAUAUGCUUAUUCAUAUAUUGCUAGGCUUAGCUUCGAGCUCUUCAUAUAUAUGAUCGACUAAGGACGGUGAUGAUCAGGUGGUGGUGCACGCGGACCUGGAGGAGGAGGUUCACGGUGUGGUGGACCGGAUGGUGGUGCAUGCGGGCCAGGAGGAGGAGGAGAAUGGCCACGAGGGGGAGGAGGUUCACGGUGUGGUGGACCGGGUGGUGGUGGGUGGGGCUCUGGCGGUGGGUGGCCGGGCUGGUGACGGGGCUCUGGCGGUGGGGGAUUGUGCAUCUUCUAAUUUCUUUCUUCCGACCGCUCUUUGUUUUUGUUUGAUAUGGAUGUGGAGAAAUGUAUUGAGAUAGUCUCUGAAUUUAUACAUGUGAAUGGAUAGGGCUAAGCUAGUUGGGUUGCAAAGUUUAGUGUUUCAUGAAUUUGUCCAGUAUC